GAACGCAAAUUGCACUCGAGGCUCCGGCCGAGAGUAUGUCUGCCUCAGCGUCGGCUUUACCCUCACCCCUCUUUCAAGAGGCGUGGACCUGGCCGUCCCGGUUGACUUAACCGGGUCUGCCGAAGCACAGAGGCUCUAACGAGGACCCAAUCGGGACGACUGUCUGGUAGGUGACCCGCCAGGGAUCGCAUGCCGCCGUCGGCCCGGGACCUCGUUGUAGGCCGGCAGGAAUCGUCGGCCGCUCUCCGAGAAGCCGUGCGACACACCCCUUUCGACCUGAGUUCAGGCAAGAACACCCGCUGAACUUAAG
RNAcentral lists this unclassified non-coding RNA (310 nucleotides) under Pseudococcomyxa simplex. RNAcentral's name for it is "Coccomyxa simplex sequence contains 5.8S rRNA gene". The record is from RNAcentral. Lineage: Eukaryota; Viridiplantae; Chlorophyta; Trebouxiophyceae; Chlorellales; Oocystaceae.